UCCCUCCUCAUGUCCUGUCCUCUACUUCUUCUGGGUGCUUCAGAUCAUCCUGAUAAUUAAAAUAAUCAAACAUAAGAAAGCAUACAAAAUAAUCAAAUAUUAUAAUGUACAAGUAAUAAAUAAAUUAGAACUAUUUCAUCCUCCAACAAUGGUAGUGUAUUGACCUCUGACUAUGCGUAUGUUUGCAAGCUUACACAUCGAAUCUAAACUUAUAUCAAUUAAUGAAAGCUGAAAUGUUUCUGGGAUAAUAGGCAUCACAACAAAAGCAAAUUCGACAAAGUUUCCUUACAAAACCAACAAAGUUCAGUAUAAGCAAAUUGGACAAAGUUUCCUUACAAAACCAACAAAGUUCUGUAUAGCCAUAUCCUUAGCCCACAAGUAACAUUCAGGCUUCAGUGCGAUAUUAGAGAUCACAAGAGCAUUAGCUUAAUGCACAAAUGAGAUAUACAUAUUAGAUACAUCACGUGGAUUUUAAUUAUCAAGAUCGAUUAGAAGACCGUAGAAGAUUUCUAAUAAAAAACCAGCAAGUACAUAAAACCAGCACAACCACGUCCAUUAAAAAAUCAAUCAUAAUAGGUAAAACAAUUUUUCAAGUAUUAGGAUAUACUCUACUAUUUAAUUUGAUACAUGAUAGAUACAUUCUGAAUGAAGUAUAAGAUUGUACUUAAUAAUAAAGUUAAGGAAGGACUAUUUUCCAAUGCACUAAAAAGGAAUGCAGAUUAUGUAGAUGAGAAAAAUAACAUAUCUAGCAAAGAGUAGUGUGUAGAAUAAUAUUUCAAAACACUAGGUACCACUUCUGAUAAUAUAAGUUUAUAUAAUAUUUUCUCAAAGGAAAUUCAAGGAGAUGGCUUUGUAGCAUUAUAAUAGCAUGUUACUAAAAUGUGCCUAAUUUUGGUACUGGUCCAAGGGUGGACAUAAACUUUGUUGUUCUGGCUAGGAAGGUUCAAUCGAUAGAAAUAUAUUAGUAUUUCCAUGCACACAUCAUAUGUGUCCAAAAAAGUUGAUAUUAUUUGCCAAAAUUCCAUUGUAGUUGUAAAUUUCGUUGCAACGAAAUCUGUUGUUUCUGAUUCUUAAUCUAAGAGUUACUGCAAUACUUAAAUUUAAAUAUACACAUCUCUAAUAUUUGGGUCAAAUUGGACAUCAUUUCAAAUAUAUGCAGGGUGGCACUUUGUAUCAAUUCUAGAAUGAUAUAUAAAAUAUUUUAGUAUAGAACUUAGCAUGUGCAGCACGUUCUACCAUAAUAUAGAUUGUAUAGUUUUUAUUUGUACAUAUAUUUGAUUUCUCUUUAAAAAUGAAUGUGAAAAAUUACAUGAAUUGCACAAUAAUUUUAAGAUACACAAUUCUCUAGCCCAUGUUGAUGCACGGGUUGAUGACUAGUAUACCUAAUUGAGUUACAUUGGAUAUGAAAUGGAACUGCAUACUUCUAUAUCAUACUACACACAGCAAACUUGCAACCGGGACACUCACCCGGUUAUAGACGAGGCCGGCCGUCACUACUGCCCAAUGUUUGUUGAGGCAUCUUUGCAUGCCCUUUCUGCCAUGUAGUAAAACUACUGCUGCUUGUAUACGCGGACACCACCACUGGCAAGGAAGCACGACGAGGCCACAAUGGAUGGAAUCAUAGCGAAUCCAAAGGGAGUUGUGAGGAAGGAAAGGAUAUCAAAAAUCAAGCCACGACAAUAGGUACAAAGAAAGUAGUACCUUCGGAACACAAGGAAUCAUACACUAAAUAAUGCAAGGGUUGAUACAUUAGAUAAUGGAAACAAUUGUAGCCAUAUACUUUACUUCUAAAGAGCACAAAUACGAUGUCACAGACAUGGCAGCAUGCUUACAGGGACACCUUCACUCUCACCCAUCGGAUGAUUAGCUACCAGCAAUUAAACACAAAAAAUGAGAAAGAAAAGCAGCCCUCCAGGUUGUCCACCUUCACUCUCACCCAUCAGAUGAUUAGCUACAGCAGUGGCACCGCUCUCAGAUGCAAUUUUCCCUAACAUGAAGCACCAUGCAUUCAAUCAGCAGCGACAAGCCAACAAUAAUCAAGCAGCACACAUGAACACCAAGAUUCAAUCAAUGGCAGUAGCACAUGAACAACAUACAGAAGCAUAUGGCGAGCAGCAACUACAAGGGCAUGGCUAUUGGCUAACAGGGGAUGCAAGCAGUAGCAGUUCAAUAAUAAAUCUAAGCAAAUAGAAGUCUAGGUUACCUGCUCCAGCUUGCUUGCCAUUGGAAGGAGAUGCUGCUGCACUUGUGGGACGACAGCGGUCAGGUCCAAGCACCGGCCGUGACACCUUACGACAGUGGCGCUCAGGUCCAGAAGCUGGGAAAGGAUAAGGGAAACCCAAUUUCAUGGCUUCAAACUGGUCGAGGAGGUCUCCUUUUGUGCACCAGUGGAUGUGAGCUGCAAAAUCAGGCUUGGGCCGACCCUUAAAGAAUCUGCACACAAAAAUGAAUCCAUCUGCAGUUUGUUUAACCAGGUUUGUACUCGGACAAAAACAAAUGUUGUGCUACUCUGUGUGCUCCUCCCUAAGAAUGUACCAUGGAACAUUACGCAUGCAUCCAUUGCAGACCAGAAGCAUCGUUUAUGAGAGGAAAUAUAGCAGGUACUUCACCACACACAAAUCCAAAGUAAAAAACUGCAAGAUAGCAAAUAGCAAUUGCAUAUGAUAAUACUAUCACGAACAGUAGCUUCCUAGGUAUACCGAUCUGAUCCAGUGUGGAGUAGAUUCUCAAUUCGUGCAUCUUUCUAUAGGAGUAGGAUGAGGAGGAGAUAGAAGUACCUGUUGAUGCCGGGAAG
This 2794-nucleotide long non-coding RNA is filed under the name Hordeum vulgare. Its description in RNAcentral is "long non-coding RNA (HVUL_LNC009579)". The record is from RNAcentral. Lineage: Eukaryota; Viridiplantae; Streptophyta; Magnoliopsida; Poales; Poaceae.